GGCGUCUUACCCAAGCGGUAAGGGAGAGGUCUGCAAAACCUUUAUGCAGCGGUUCGAUUCCGCUAGACGCCU
Molecule: transfer RNA, 72 nt
Filed under: Treponema sp.
Lineage: Bacteria; Pseudomonadati; Spirochaetota; Spirochaetia; Treponematales; Treponemataceae
Also listed under: 3 other names
Description: tRNA-Cys
Rfam family: tRNA
About the family: Transfer RNA (tRNA) molecules are approximately 80 nucleotides in length.
Source: RNAcentral